GCUGGUUUGGCAUUACACGUCAUCAGGUGAAUAUAGUGUGAAGUCGGGCUAAUGGAUGGCUGUGCUCCAAAGUUGAAUAGGAGGGGCUCAAAUCAAGCAGGUCCUAGACCUACUUCAGAUAAUGCAACUCGAAAGCUGUGGAGAGAAGUCUGUAAGCUCAAGUUACCGCCGAAAAUUGCCAUUUUUCUUUGGAAAAUUCUCCAAGAAAAAUUGCCAACUAAUGUUCAUCUAUGCAAAAUUCGGCCAUACUUUUGCUCAGAAUGUGUCUUCUGUGGAGAAUAGGAAUCACUGCAUCAUUUGUUCUUCAAGUGUUAUCACGCUAGGCAGGUUUGGUUGAUGUUGCCCUUCAUGCUUCGGUCAGAAAUAUUAAAGGGUACCACAAUUUUGGAUUGUUGGCAAGAACUCCUCUCCUUCCUAAGCUCGGGUGUCCAGGAAUGUGGUUGGAUAAAGAUGCUAGUUUUUGUCUUAUGGAGCAUAUGGAAAAAGUCGCAACAACUACAUCUUUAGCCGUCAUCAGAGUUCUCCACAAGAGACGACAUCAGUGGGCCUUGCCAUGUAUAGGGAUUUUGCUUCCUUGCAGGUUUUUACGAAACAGACUCCAAUUAUCACAUCUCGCCAUCACUUAGAAUGGUCUCCACCAGCCCCAGGCCUUGUCAAAAUCAAUACAGAUGCAGCAGUAAGUAGGGAGGAGCUUUAUGGAUCGAUAGUAGCCAUAGCAAGGGAUUCGGAUGGAUCUCCACAAGGUUGAAGUUGUCGGCGUAUCACUAGUAUUAUAGACCCUCUCACCCUUGAAGCUAUGUCGGGAAGUAAUUCAACUAGGGAUUUCCAGAGGAUUUAAUCGCUUCAUGUUGGAAAGUGACUCUUUGCAAGUGGUCAAUGCAAUUCAAAAUCGGUCUCCUCCCCUUCUCUCAAUCUCUGGAAUUACUCAAGACAUUCAAAACAUGGUGUUUAGAGUAGAUUUUUUUUGUUUGUUCUAGGAUGAGGAACAUGGCAGCUCAUUCGUUAGCUAAGAAAACGCUGCAAGAUAGUUCCUUUAUUUUCAAUCCUUUGGCUCAACGUCACUUCGUAUCCUCUUUUACGCCUAAGUAGGGUCUCGUCUACGAAUCUGCCUUCGAGAAAAAAAUUAUAAUUAAUAAAUUUAAAGGGUUAAAUUUAUAAUUAUUAAAAGUUGCCAAGCUCCCAAUUUCAAAGAAGAGUCUUCAAUCGGCAUAAAUUGAGCUAGUACUCAAUUCCCAAAUUUUUUAAAAGAGUUUGGAGAAUUUUCCCAUAAUUAGUCUGUGUGAAUAUCAUAAAAGACUGGAUAUAUGAAUGAUUGGUGAUUUGCUGUAACCCGACUUAGUGAUUAGCAAAUCCUAAAACUAAUUUGAGGUAAUUUGCUUGAUAAUUAAAUUUUUUAAAACCAAUUUAGCUGACAUAAAGCAGGUAAUGACAUCAGGAGGGUCCUGUUUAUUUUUAUAUUUCUUGUAUAAAUUCUCAGUUCGUUCUUUUGAGCUCAAUGGUUUCUUUAUAUCUCUCUCCUUCUCAAACAUAUUUUUCUUCUACUUGUCAUUUGUUAUGGAGUUUUGGUUCUUAUAUUAUGCUUUCUUACUGUUUGAAGUGUGGUUCUCAGUUCUUAUGGUACCAUGCAAUUCGAUCUCUCUGAAGGGAAGUUCUGAUGCCACUCCAUUUUCAAGCAGCUUUCUCUUUGGAACUGCAUCUUCUUCUAACCAAGUAUUAUGCUUUUGCCUUAUUUUGUUUUUCUCCUUCACACACUUAAAGAGUAGAAUCAAAUUUUUCUGCAUAUUAUUUCAUCUUUGCACAUUUUGAAGGAGCAUACUUGAGUGAUGGUAAAGGCCUUAACAAUUGGGACACUUUAACUCACAAGCCUGGUUAGAUGGCUUAUGUUUUAUACUUUUUCUUCUAUCUCUAUUAUCCGUCCUGUUUUGACCUCUUUCUUUUUCUGGUAGUAGUUGUAUGGAUUUUUGGUAGGUAAUAUCUUAGAUGGAACUAAUGGGGACAUUGCAGUGGAUCACCGAUAUCUGGUGCUCAUUUUACUUAUUUGAGCAUUUUUUUUAAUCUUCUUAAUAUCUAUGAAGCCGCUUAAAGUUUGUUCUAUUUUUCCCAGUUUAUGAAUUUUCAUCCAUCCAAUAUGAAAAUUGUUGAAACAGGGACACAAAGGCGCACACAGUCACAUAAUUACAGCAUAAAGAGGAGAUAAAAUGGACACGAGAUUAGAGAAAAGUUCCACACAAAAAAAGCAAGAUUCAAUCACACAUAAUUCUCAAACCCUUUAAUCCAGUGUGUUUCUCACAAUAAUAACACAAUAGGGAGAAAAUACAAUAUUUAUACAAGUCUAUCAGCCACAUCACAAAAUAUUUCAAUCAGAUUACAGCACGAAAACUUUUUGAGCCGGGUUACAAUUGGGGUACAUAAAGUCUGAAAUUAGAAGUGGAGUGGCAGACAGGCUUUUAAGUGCAGCAUAUAAAAAGGGUAUUGCAAAGUUAUUUGCAAUGAAAGUGAGGCUGUGGAAGGGAUAAAAUAAGUUAGGGACACUAUUACACUUUACGAAAUGGCCAAUCCAAAGGCUUAGAUAUGCAUAUGCAUAUUGUGAUCAUUAUAUGCAUUAUGCAGUCACAUAGAUCUGGUGGUUAACAUAUCAAAUCAUCUACAAUAUAAAGUAGACAAAUUAUUAUGGACAUGACCCACAUUAAAGAUUUGCAUGCUCAUAAGUUUUAACCCUAUUUAGCCAAAUAUGAACCCCACAUUUAUACUUUAGUGUGAUGGUUGUUUUCUCCACAUUAUAGUGCCUUUUUCUUUUUCCUUUUUGAUUUCUUAAUUUCAUUAUUUCUGAUAGAGUACAGUUCUUUUCUUUUCUUGAUUGCGAUUGAUUGACAGUGAAGGGAUCCCGUAAAACUGAACCAAUUAUAUCAAAGUCACCAAAUUGAGAAGAAAAUUAUAUAUUAGCAUUUGAAGUCUUUUGAAAAUAUGUAAGAUAUUUUGGUUCGGAUAAAUGUUAUGCAUAUGGGAAUAGUUGUUAUUAAACAUAAUAAGGAAAAAAGGUAUGAAAAUCAAGUGUCUAGAUUUUUCAAGAAAAGGGAAUGUCAUAGUGUUCUGAGAAUUGGUAGAUGAUAUUUGAACGGCAUUGUUUGAUAAUCUGUUUCUGAAAAUACAGAGGUAUGAAUCCAUCGCAAUAUAAAGGAAAAAGACCAAUUUGGUUUGUUAUGAAAUCAGAAAACAGGAAGAUAUUGAUCUCAUGGAAUAUAUUGGAGUCAAUAGCUGUCGUUUCUCCAUAUCAUGGGCAAGAGUCUGACCCAGUGAGUUUGUAAUUUCUUCAUUAGAGAAUGUUUUACUAAUAAGUCACUGUUAAUCCAAUCUCUAACUGUCAUCUUUUGGUGAGCCUGAGGGAAGAUUUCGAAAUGUGAACCAGGCUGGCAUCAAUCAUUAUAACAAGAUAAUUAAUGCCAUUCUGCAUAAAGGUUAAUUCAAUUUCCAGGGUAAAUUGUCACAAUGUAUAGAAUAGCUUGAUUGUCACAAUGUGAUCAGAAUCAUAAAGUAAGCACAAAAGGUGAAAUAAACAAAUCUAUUUAUCAUCAGAAUCAUUGUUGCAUAAUUAGUAGCGGACCUUCGUAUGGUAAUAGAUCAUAUCAUGUUUUCACAAUAACAUUCAUUUGUUCUGGUUUUAGGAAUCCAACCCUUUGUGUCAUUGACUCACUAUGACAUUCCUCAGGAACUUGAAGGCAGAUAUGGAGCUUGGCUAAGUCCUGAAAUACAGGAGGACUUCAAAUAUUAUGCAGAUAUAUGUUUCAGAUCCUUGGGUGACAGAGUUAAAUGGUGAUCCACCUUCAAUGAGCCCAAUGUCGCAGCAAUUCUUGGUUAUAGAUCAGGGAUUUUCCUGCCAGCUCAUUGCUCCAGCUCGUUUGGCAACUGUAGCAAUGGAGAUUCAGAGGGAGAGCCUUUUAUCGCUGCCCAUAACAUGAUACUAUCACAUGCAGCUGCUGUUAAUGUUUACAGAACUAAAUACCAGAAAGAACAAGGUGGAAGCAUAGGAAUUGUUAUGAAUGCCAUGCGGUUUGAACUUUGAACCUAUCAGUAUUUCCUUGAAAGACAAACUAGCAGUUGAGAGAGCCCAAGCUUUCUAUUUGAACUGGUUCCUAGACCCUAUUAUACAUGGAGCGUAUCCAACAGAAAUGCAGGAAAUUCUAGGGCGUUGACUUGCCUGCAUUUUCAAACUAUGAACUGGAGAAGCUGAAGAGUGGAUUAGACUUCAUUGGCAUAACCACUACAGUAGUUUCUACAUAAAGGACUGCAUAUUUUCUUUCUGUGGCCAAGGUAAAGGAGUUACAAAGACAGAAGGUUUUGCUUGGCAGACUGCACAGAAGGACGGUAUCUUCAUUGGAGAACCUGCAUAUGACCUUAGCUUCUCUUCAUCUUACAAUUUACUUUCUACUUUUCUAUGAAUAACUUAAGCCUUUGUACUUGUGUAGACCUCAGUUGACUGGCAAUAUGUUUAUCCUCAAGGAAUGGAAAAAAUGGUGACAUAAAUAAAAGAAAGAUAUAACAACAUACCAAUGUUCGUUAUAGAAAAUGGAAGAAAAUUGCAAUACCACUGUCAAAGUUUUACUCAAUGAUGUCAAGAGAGUAGAGUACAUGAGCAGCUACUUGGAAGCUCUGGCAAUGGCACUAAGGGAAGGAGCAGAUGCACGGGGGUACUUUGCCUGGUCAUUGCUUGACAACUUUGAGUGGAUAGAUGGAUAUACGAUAAGGUUUGGGCUUUACCAUGUUGAUUAUUCGACUCUCAAACCCAAAAACUAUCAGCAACUAGGUGCAAAGAUUAUAUUUCCAGCCAUAAGGCUAGCAGAACUUGCACCUGACCUAAGCAUACUCAUGAAAAUUAGUAGUGUGUUUAAGAUCAGUUGAAGUUUCCUAUCCUAAAAGUUAGAAAACAAAUUGCAAGAAAAAUCCUGUGUGAUUUUGGUCAAGGAGUUUAUCCAAUGGGCGUGUUGUUGAAAAGUUUUAGCUAUGUUAAUGAAAUAAAUAACCCACUUUGUAUGAUACCAAUCUAUAGAGCAUUGCUUUGUUUGCUGAAAAUGUGCUCUUUUGCUCUUG
Molecule: unclassified non-coding RNA, 5085 nt
Filed under: Hevea brasiliensis (rubber tree)
Lineage: Eukaryota; Viridiplantae; Streptophyta; Magnoliopsida; Malpighiales; Euphorbiaceae
Source: RNAcentral